AAUUUUUGACGACGUUGACUUUUUAGCACAUGUUUGACCGUUCGUCUUAUUCAAAAAAUUUAAGUAAUUAUUAAUUCUUUUACUAUCAUUUGAUUCAUUGUUAAAUAUAUUUUUAUGUAGGCAUAUAAUUUUACAUAUUUCACAAAAGUUUUUAAAUAAGACGAACGGUCAAACAUGUGCUAAAAAGUCAACGGUGUCAAACAUU
Oryza glumipatula is the source of this 205-nucleotide non-coding RNA. The record is from Rfam. NCBI's taxonomy places the organism in Eukaryota, Viridiplantae, Streptophyta, Magnoliopsida, Poales, Poaceae.